Molecule: long non-coding RNA, 10748 nt
Filed under: Elaeis guineensis (African oil palm)
Lineage: Eukaryota; Viridiplantae; Streptophyta; Magnoliopsida; Arecales; Arecaceae
Description: long non-coding RNA (EGUI_LNC040906)
Source: RNAcentral
UAGUUUCCUAUUCUUCCUUUUUUCCUUAUUUCACUGUAAUCAUAUUUAAUUAUUCUUUAUUUGAUGAGAUUUGAUCUUAUCUCUUAUUUCAUAGGAUUUACACGAGAUUUGAUCUCUUAAGAAGAUCAUUCUUUUGUAUAUUUAUAUGGGAUUGAUUACCCACUAAAAAUAAGAAGUAAAUUACAUCUUUUCUCGUGGUAUCAGAGCUCUUUCCAUAGGGCCUGUUUUUCUGCUGCUACUUUUUCUAUUUGUCUUUAUCACGAAAGUUCACAGUCUUCAUUGCUAUUGGUCCCAUUAUCGUCGAUCUUGUUUGUCUUCAUCGCAGACAUCUUCAGUGUCGACUCCGUUUGCUUUGAUCGCAGAUAUCUUCAUCAUUCUCUGCCUUCAUCGCAGAAGUCAUCGUUGUUCGCAGCUUUUCUCUGUAGGCCAAAUCUAACUGCACUCCCAUUGUCAGUCAGUCUCUUUAUUGUUGCUGUUAUUUGAUUCCUUCUCUUAGUCAACAUGUCUAUAAGGCCAUGGCGUUCAGCCCUUUCGAAUCCAUUUUUAGGACAACUUAACCCACUUUAAAUGGUGAACUGCAGGUCAUGAACUCUUCCUAUCAUCUUGAUGGGAAGAAUUAUUUUCAAUGGUCAUAGUUGGUGAAAACUUUUCCCAAGGAUCUAUACCUGAAAAAUCUAAAAAAGCUGAAUUUCGAAAAUUCAACAAAGAAGAAGUUGAGAAAUUAUAAGAUUUUCUUAACUCUCUGUCUACUUCCUGUGGUUCAUAUUCAUUGGCUCAAUCUAGUAAGUGCCUUGUUUCUAAUUCUCUUAAUAUCGAUACAUUGUCUCAUUUCUCCUCCUAAGGACCUGACUCAGGAGCAACAGAUCAUAUAAGCCAUAGCCCAUCUGGAUUUGAGUCCUACAAAUUAUGCUUAGGAAAUCAAAUAAUUAUCGUGGCUAAUGGUUUCCCUAUUAUCAGAGCCGGCCAAGGCCAAAUUUCCUUAGUCCCUUCCUUUCAUUUAAAAAAUAUGUUACAUGUUACAAAAUUAUCCAUUAAUCUAAUCUCCAUUCAUCAGCUCAUCAAAAAUUUAAAUUGUUGUAUCACAUUUUUUGAUACCCAUUGCAUCUUUCAGGACAAAGUCAUAAAGCAGACGAUUAGAUCUGCUAAAGAACGGAAUGGCCUUUACUACCUUGAUGCUGCCAGUAGUUCAUCCACUCCUACAAACCAGUUCACUCUCUCCCACACAUCGUCCAAUUCUACUCAUCCUUUCUCUUCCAAUGAAUCUGAAAUUUGAAUCCAACAUCUUUGUCUUGGCCAUUCAUCUUUCCUUUUGCAAAAAAAUAUGUUUCUUUUAUUGUUCAAUAAUGUUGAUGUUCAAAGCCUUCAUUGCAAGACUUGUAAAUUUGGUAAACAUCAUCAUGUAUCAUUCCCUUUGAGUUUUAAUAAAUCUUCUAAACCUUUUCUCUCAUACAUAUAGAUAUUUAGGAUUCAUCUAGAAUUUCUACUUAUACUGGGGCAAAGUGGUUUGCAUCAUUCAUUGAUGACUAUACUAAGACCACGUGGAUAUAUCUUAUGAAGAAAAAAUCUGAGGUCAGCCAUAUAAUUCCAUCUUUCCACUAAAUGAUAUUGACUCAAUUCAGGGUAUCCAUACAAAAGAUUCAUUCUGAUAAUGCUCGAGAUUAUUUUAAUUUCACUCUUGCUUCUUUCAUAAAAAAAGAAUCAUUCAUGAAUCCUCUUGUGUUGACACGCCCCAACAAAAAGGGAUAGCAGAGAAAAAAAAUCGAUAUCUUCUAAAUAUCACUUGUGCCCCUCUUUUUUAUUCUAAUGCCUCAGAAUUUUUUUGGAGAGAUGCUGUCCUUACAGCAACUUUUCUGAUUAAUAGAGUCUCUUCACGUAUCUUUGGUAAUCAAUCUCCUAUUCACCUAUUGUCUACCUUUCACUUUGAGCUUCAUUAUCUGAGUAAUCUUCCUCUUCGCGUCUUUGGGUGUGUCUCAUAUAUCCAUGUUCAUAAACAACAUCGGGAAAAGCUUGAUCCUAGAGCUCUAAAUUUUAUUUUCGUGGGCUAUUCCAAUACACAAAAAGGGUAUAAGUAUUAUCAUCCUUCUACUCAAAAAAUGUUUAUCUCCAUGGAUGUCACCUUUAAUGAGAACCAAUUUUAUUUUUCCAAACCCCAUUCCCCUCUUCAGGGGGAGAAGCCUAAGGAUAGUUUGGAAUGGGUUGUCCUUGAUAAUCUUUGGAGUCUACAACUGAUACCUCUUCCACUUGAACUAUCCUCAUAUAAGAUGCCUCCUCCAUAUGAACCAUCCUCAUAUGAGCCAGAACAAGACACUAAAAAUCAGCAACAAAAGCAGCCUGAAUUACUGCAGUAUUCAUAGAGAAAAAAGAUGAUUUUCGAACCAAUGCAGACCCAAGACUCUAAUCAGGAUGAACAAGAGCCAGAUAAAUCAGUUUUUCUCACUGAUUCUAUUCUUAAUGAAUCUAUUCCUGAAGAGCCUAUUUCUCAAAAUCUCUAAAUCCUAAUUACCUUAAGAAAGGCCAUCAGAAAGUGCACUCAACAUCCAAUCUAUCCAAUUUCACUGUUUGUCUCCCUUCAUCAUCUUUCUUCAUAACAUAAAAGUUUUCUUACUACCCUAGACUCAAUUGAUAUCUCUAAAAUCAUACAAGAGAUAUUAAAGAACAAAAAUUGGAUACAAGCCAUGAAAGAGGAAAUGACUGCACUAGAGAAGAAUAAGACAUGGGAGGUUGUGACUGGGCCAAAAGGGAAACAACCAGUUAGAUGCAAAUGGGUUUACACUUUAAAAUACAAAGUAAAUAGAUCUCUUAAGAGGUACAAAGCAAGAUUAGUUACAAAGGGGUAUCCACAAAUCUAUGGGGUAGACUAUCAUGCACCAGUAGCAAAGAUGAAUACCGUAAGAAUUUUAUUAUCUCUUGCUGCUAUGUUUGAUUGAGAUUUGCAGCAAUUUGAUGUCAGGAAUGUAUUUCUAUAUAGAGAUUUAGAAGAAUAGGUCUUUAUGGAGCCACCAUCCAGAUUUGAUGGAGAUUUUGGGGUUGAUAAAAUUUGUAGUUUGAAAAAGACUUUGUACGGCCUAAAACAAUCUCCUAGAGCAUGAUUUGGGAGGUUUACAAAGGCAAUGCUGAGAAUGAGAUACAAACAAAGCCAGAGAGACUACAUAUUAUUUAUAAAAUACUCAGAUAAAGAUGAAGUUACAGUCUUACUAGUGUAUAUGGAUGAUAUUAUUAUGAUAGAAAAUGAUGCAUCUAAAAGAGAAUCUCUUAGAAAAAGAUUGGCUCAAGAAUUUGAGAUCAAAGAACUCAAAAAAUUGAAAUACUUUCUAGAUAUUGAAGUGGCUUACUCAAAAAAAGUUAUAUUUGUCUCUCAAUGAAAAUAUGUACCAGACUUUCUUAAAGAAAUCAGAAAUUUUUGCAGCAAAGCAACAAGUAUGCCUAUUGAUUAUAAUCAUAGGAUAGAAAAAACUGAAGAGGAUAGCUCAAUUGAUAAAGGAAGAUAUCAGAGACUUGUAAGAAAAUUAAUUUAUCUUUCACAUACAAGAUCAGUCAUUGCCUACUCUAUGAGUGUAGUCAAUCAGUUUAUGCAUGACCCAAAAGAAGAACACUUGUAAGCAAUUUACAGAAUCCUGCACUAUCUUAAAGCUACACCAGGUAAGAAAAUCUUGUUUCAGAAAAGGAGUCCUAUACUGAUGUUGAUUAUGCUGGAUCACAAGUUGACAGAAGAUCAACAUCUGGACACUGCACAUUUCUAAAAAGUAAUCUGAUGACUUGGAGGAGUACAAAAUAGAAUGUGGUAACAAAGUCUAGUGUUGAGGCUAAGUUCAGAGCCAUGGCUCCAGAGAUUUAUGAACUACUGUGGGUAAAAAUAAUCCUAGAUAACUUAAAGAUCAAGAGAGAAGGAAUGAUAAAGCUAUAUUGUGAUAACAAAUCUGUCAUUAAUAUUGCUUAUAAUCCGAUUCAGCAUGAUCGGACCAAGCACAUUGAGAUAGACAAAUACUUCAUAAAGGAGAAGUUGGACAAUGGGUUGAUUAGUAUCCCAUAUAUGCCAUCAGAGAAUCAGUUAGCUGAUGUUCUAACCAAGGGUCUACCUACAAUGAGAUUUCAAGAAAUUAUUAGCAAGCUGGGAAUGAAAGAUAUUCACUCACCAGCUUGAGGAAGACUGUUGAAAAUUUUCUAAAAUCUCUCAUCUAAUUGUAGGAUAUUUAUAUAGUUUCCUAUUCUUUCUCUCUUUAUAAUGGUAGGAUAUUUGUAUAGUUUCCUAUUCUUCUUCCCUUUCCUUAUUUCUUGUAACUAUAUUUAAUUAUCUCUUAUUUGAUGGGAUUUGAUCUUAUCUCUUAUUUCAUGGGAUUUACACAGGAUUUGAUCUCUUAAGAAGAUCAUCCUUUUGUAUAUUUAUAUGGGAUUGAUUAUCUACUGAAAAUGAGAAGUAAAUUAUAUCUUUUCUCAAAUACUCUUAUCAUAUGUGUUUGAUACUUAUGUUAAAUAUCCUAUUUUUUAAAAUUAAGAAAGCCUUCUAAAUACUUUCGGAUACGCUCAAGUUACUUCUUUGAUAUCUCCAAGAAUGAAAUCAAGGGAUUUUUCUUUCUUUUUCUUUCAAGGAUGAAUGCUAACCAUUUAAUGAUAAAUAAUUAAUUUUUGAGUUAAUAAUGUUAAUACUGUCAAAUGGGGUAGGAAUUAGGUCUAUGAAUUUGAAUGAUAAAAAAAUGAUGAGUUUGUAAAAGUUCAUAGAUGCUUUUUUGUAUAUCCACAUCAUAUGCAUAUGUAUUUGUAAAAUUCAUAUAUAUUUGUUCCAUAUCCUAGUUGUAUCAUAUUGUUGGGGGGUAAUACGUCCACUAUGAGCUAAUGAAAGUGGAUACCUUGGACCCUAUCUGAUAUGAUAUACCCUGAGCACUAUUUGAACUCUAUUGAUGACCGACCUGGAAGCUUACCGACUAGGCGUUCCUUUGAGAGGAAAGGACAGAUGAUACUAAGAUUGUUGGGGGCUAGUAUCCCAUUAUCAUCAGAGCUCGACUUUGCCAACCACUCUGAGGAACCGAUCCCUCUAGGGGUUCGGCAUCGCCUUGUCUGUUUCGAUCUCCACAGCAAGCACAUCAUCAGGAGAUGCAAACCCUUGGCCGCCUACUUCGGAGGAUGAUUAAGGAUCGGACAAACGAUCUCCACCUGGUGCUCAAGCUGGGGAACACCAAAUGAUUCCCAUUGUGGACUAGCUGGGCUCCAUUAUCUAGUCGCAUCACUCCAUCUAUCAGUCGCAUCACCAUUCCUUUCACAACUGCGUGCCGAGAGAAUUUAUGAUCGCUCUCAUAGAUACUUAAAACACCUCACACAGCCUUGUGUGAUAAGACAUGAUCAUAAUGACCCCUUAUCCUUUCACCCUUAGAAUUUAAUCCUCCCUUCGUUGAAGAAGGGACCCCUACCAAAAUUGCGACACCGAUCUCCGACUUGAUCAUGGGUUCCGACACCCUAUCGAUCCAUACGUUAUCCCAUCCUUGCCAAGAUGGUGCGCAAGAGCCAGGCAUUGAGCCGAGGAUGGCCCGACUAUCUCUAGAGAUUUUGAGUCAAUCCUUAUACCUAAUCAAUCUUUGGAUCAUACACUAUUACAAUCUAUUGUAUACCGAGAGGCUGACCUUUUCUCGGACCCCAUGCGGUGGGCUAAAUCGACCCUUAAUUAGUGCCGACCCCCACUUGUCCAACCCUUCGCUGACCUUGGAUGGUCCACUUCAGAGAACCUUUGAGCCUUCUUCCUAGCCACCGACCUCCCCUACAAACAACCAAUGGAGAAGCUAAUCUAGGUGAAUCAACUGAUCCCUUGAGCCAAUAGCAUCUGGCAAUGAACAUAUUCGUAAGCUCUUGAGCUUCGGUGUAUUGGGCAAUGACUCUAUCUAAAAUACGAGUCAAGAUACAUCAAUUAUGAUUUUUGUCCAUAUGAGUCAAAUCAGGGUACACCUUUUCAUGUCAUUAUCCUACUUGUGACUCAUACACUGGAUAAACUCACAUCACUUGGCCUCCCCUGAUCAACCACAUGCCUCACAGCUCUGCGUGACGGGAUCAUUGGAAUAACUUUCCAUCCCUCCUUGCUUGACUUUAGCUCCCUCCAUUAAUAAAAAGAGCAGAGAGGAUUCUCGAGGAACAUGCGAAUGAUGGGUCAUCUGGGCAUCAGGCUCGAGGUCAGGGAAAACUCAGUUUUGACAUUAUCUCUGGGGAUUCUAAUGAGUCAAUCCUUACUCUUAAUCGAAUCUCGGGUUCUUCACUAUUAUAACCUAUCACUUUGAAGGUAGUCCCUGCCAUACCGACCCUCCGAAUAGGACCCCCUAAAAGUUUUCUGAUACUUAUAUUCCUGCCCACAAGCAGUUCGGACUAACUGGCCGACCCUCCCCACCUGGCCAGCACUCUCCAUCUAGCAGUAAGGACCUUCUGGCCUCCAAACUUUGGCGUCGAAGGAGGGAUCGGGCAUCGGAUAACAAAAUAGGCUCAAGGACUAAUUAUGAUUCUUGUCCAAAUAUGUCAAGUCAGAAUAUAUUACCGCCGUUUCACUUGCCACCUACAUGUCCACCAAGCCUAUGUCACAUCACCUUCCUUGUCAACUGUGCGCUAGCUAAAAGAUCCAUUUACCAACUGACAUGAUUCGUAUGGCCCAUGGCGUCACCAAUCCCUAUAUAAGUAGCAGUAAAGAGGAGACCUACAUGCCCUCUUGAAACUUUUUCUCCCUUCUCCUCUGUUGUAUCAUAUUUCUGACUUGAUCGUCUGUGGAUCUUCGUCGGAGUCAAUUUCGAUCAUGGCUUGUUUUACAGGAAUGCAGUUCUGGUGAUCUCCACCCUCAUUCACACGCGGUCGAAAAUCUUCUGCAACACAUAUCAUAAUUUUUCAUGAUUUUUCAUAUCGUGUCAUAUCUAUUCUUGCAUCUGCAACAUCUGCAUAUCUAUUUUUCAUGGGUAGGAAUGUGCCUUGGCGGAUCCUUCAAAUUUGGUAUAUUAUGAUUGUGUUCACUUUGCCUGAAUUUGACAAUACCGGAUAUUAAGAGGCUUUUUAUUAUGUGGACUUUGAAGCUGUGUAUGCAUUAUCUUUAUAGUUUUACAUUGAAUUUAUUGAGUCUACUCAUAAACAUUGAUUUUGUGAAUGUUUUCACCUUAGCUGAUUAUGAUAGAGUUGCAGUUGAUAUUCAAACUAGAAAAUAAACAAAGAAAUUUUAUCUAAGUGUAAGAAGCAUACAUACACAUAUAGUUUGAUAUUGAAUUAAGGGAUGCAUUAUUAGGUAUAUAGAUAGCUAAAUAUUAUUUUCAAAUGAUUACUGCAAUUAUUUUCAAUAAAUCUAUCUUUUGGAGCUGCACAGAUCCCCGCACCUAGCUACAUAAGUACAAACUAGCACAUGAUAGUACUCUCACAUGUAGAUAUUAGUGUAUUUGUUCUUGUGGGUUUGAAGUAUAGAGAGUAUGUUUUAUAUUGCAAGAUAUUGUAUUUCCUAUGGUUCGUAGGGUAACAUAUUAUUUUUUUUUGUGGUGCUAGCUUCAGUACCAAGGCACAGGGAUGAUGAGAAUAUACUUGAAUGUAACAAAGCUUCUUGUUUGAGCUUGGUAAUGAUAUGGUGGCUUUUACUGCUGUAUAUGGCAUGCAGAAGCUGUCCAGGAUCUGCUAUCAGGUAGAAAAGUCUCAACAUAUAUAUAUGGUUGUUCAUCUAGCUUGUCUAAUACUUUUUGAUAGAAUAUUAUGGCUAAGAAUAUUGAAGGCUUUACAAAAAUCAAUGGUUGGUAUCUAAGUUACUUAGAAACAAGAUACCGGAUCCCGUACCAGUACCAUCCUAUUAUAGUGUCCAUAUGCAAUUAGGUGUAAUACGAGAAAUCAUACCAAUACAGUAUCAAUAUGGUAUGGUAUGGUAUGUCCCAUGUUAGGGAGUACGGUAAAUUAUGCUUAGAAAUAUAAAGGAUGGUGAGAUAUGAAGGGGACUUUUUGUUGGUCUGCUUAGAAAUGUCAAGGAUAGUGAGAUAUGAAGGGGGUUUUUGUCUGCAAAUCUUGUCUUUGCAAAUUGCCAUUAAAUCUUAAGCAGUAGUAAAAUUUAGAAUAACAUUGAUCAACUUAUGUAUUGGUAAUUUGUUGUACCAAGCCAGUUGGUUUAUUUUUCUAAACUAAAGUCCUGCUCAGAAUUAUCAAUGAUGAUAUCUUCCUUGACAUUCUCCUCAAAAAUUAUGAUUUGAGCUGUUCAUUUUGAGGCGGAGACAAAUAAAUAUAAUUAUGAGUACUUAUAUAUUUUUGCAUUCUUUUUUUAGCAGCAUAGUUUACUAUGUAUCACACUAUUUUAUUUGCUUUUGUAUCACUACUUUUUGAUGUAGUAUGCUGUUAUCACUUUACAAACUAAAAGAAAAAUUACCCAUUAAGUCUUUCAAUCAUGUAGAACAAAGUUGUAGUUAUAGUUCAUAAUAUUAUACAUUGCUUUGAUCCCAUCUGUGUUUCCACCAACCCUUUUGGUAUUGGGAAACCCAAAGUAGGACAAAAUCUCAUAGCAUAAUGACAUUGAAUGAGCAUUAAAACUUCUCAGUUACAUUGCUGAAAGUGGUAGAAAUCUUAUUGAAGCAUAUAAUAGGCCAGGAUUACUGAUAGUGACCAAACAGUUGUAUUAAUUUUAAGAACGAAAGCCACUUCUGCAUGCUGAAACACCUAUUAUCCCCUAAGCGUCUAAAUGCCUUCAUUUGUGGGCUUCUUGGAAAUUAUACUUGGAAUUGUCGUCAACGUAAUAAAUAUCUUUUUCUUGACCAAUUUUAAUAUUAAUAGAAUGCAUGGAGCUCCGUGAGAAAUACAAAUUAUUUGUUCGGGACCCUUACUUUAAUUUCCAUUUUUCUUUAACAUUGAGACCUUGCAAACAAAUUCACUUGUUGCGGCAAAAUAUACAUUAUAUUGUGAUUGUGAGAGGCUGAGAGCAUGGCCUCAAAAGGACACUUGAUUCUAGUGAGUGGCUGCUGUGAUGCUUGUAUGCUUACUUAGAACAAUUUCUGUAAUGAAUUGUGUUCCUAAAGGUAUCUCUUUGGUUCAUUCAUUAAAAUGAUAGCAUUUGUUAGUGGACUAUGAUAACUCAUUCUAUUCUGUGAUAACCUAUGCAAUACUAAUUUGCACAGUCGUCCAUCUUCAAGAAAAUGUUACUGGAUGCCCUGCCUGUCCUUGCAAGUUUGUAACAAGCACCUGCAUCGAAAUAUUAGCAUGCGAAUAUCAGAAGGUUAGUUCAUACAAAACUCCAUCAUUUGAUAGUUAACAUGCAUGUGGCAUGUGAAGAAAUAUGCAUGUCUACUAAUCUUUAGAAACCCAGGUACUAUCUUGAUCAGUUCUAGUGGUAUUAAAUCAGGAGAAGAUAAGUUUGAUCGAUAAGACCAUAUGAACAACUCCCCGGCCAUAUGCUCCCCGGCAGGGUACCGCUUGAUUAUGGUUUGUCUAGAACUUGUUAUUGAGAUGCAUUAGACUUUUCAGUCACAAUUAUAUUCAAUUGUGGGUCGCUCGCAAAAUUUGUGCCAGAAGGAUGUGCACGCUUAAUCAACAUCAACAUGCAAUCGAACUAGUAUAUUCAGUUACUCUAGGGACUAAUUGUAUCUUUUAUCAUUUUUAUUUGUAAGUAAACAUAGGUACUUUUCAUAUGUUGUUUGAAUUUUUUUUAUAUGUUUUCAAAGCAAUAAAUAAUGCUAUCCAGAGCAAAUGAUGGGAAAACAUUGUUUGUUUGAAGUAGUAUUCUGGAACCUAGUUUUGUUAUGGCAAUUUGAUCAGUUGCAUUGAUUUACACUAAUCUGUUGAAAUUUUGAAAUCAAGUAAUAGUUUUAAAGAUAAUAAACCAAGUAAUACUUUCACUAUUCCCUCACUUAGCCUAGCACAAGGUUAGCCUAGCUGAAGAAUAAGUUGGCUUAGCCUAUCCAACAUUUAGGGCGGGUCGAACAAGCCACAAGAUCACCCAAGCUAGUGUGCAUCCUUUUAACAUUGAAUGAGAGUAAAUAACAAAUGCUUCAGGGUAUGUUGUCCCUNNNNNNNNNNNNNNNNNNNNUUCUCUUUUCUUUUUUUUUUUUUUGUCUCUCUACAUGCCAAUUCUUUUCAUUAACAAUGCGCUUUUUGAGUCAUAUUUUUGUUCUCUGAUAUGAUUAUUUCUAGCAGGUAUUAAGGUUUAAACAGAUUAUGAUCUCUAUUGGACGGUCCAUGGCAAUUCACUCGAAAUUGCAGAAGACCAGAAACGGAACUCAUCAUGUCAUAGAUUUCUUGUAAACUGGAUAAAUUACCGUCUGCUGUUAUAUGUUGAACUCCAAUAGAAGGAAGUUGAACUCCGAGAUAAAUUAUCUCGUCUUCUCGGUACAAAACACUGGAUACUUUUCCUUUUAUUCUAAAAGGAAGCUGACAUCUCCGGUGAUCUUAAAACAGGUAUAAUGGCUUAAAUCUGUAUACUUCCGUUUUAUUUUCCUCUGUAUCGGCUUACUCUAUGCUAACUGUUAUGUUUUCUUCAAUAAUAUUAAAUUGGGUUUUUAAAGGAAUUCAUUGGCUUGAUUUUUUCUAAGUUGUUUCACAAAUUUCGAUCAGGCAGAGUACGGGUUGGGGCCUUGAUAACAGGUCCCUUGGAGAUCGACUAAUGCGCAUGAUGACAUGGGAGAACCAUGAAACUAUCUGGGUGGUACCUAAUGGGUAGCUUAUUGAAGCCUUACGCUAGUUUAUUAACAGUUUCAGCGAAACAUAUUGGGCUACAAUGUCAAACUACUGUGUUCAAGUAUUAAUUAGCUACUGAGCACUUAAGUUGUUUGUAAUUAUAG